GGAACAAAGGGCUGGUAUAUUCUAAAAAUGAAUACCGUAAACCUGGAUGGCUUCUUUGGAAGGUGAAAAGAAAGUUCCGCACUGGGAGCUGAAUGACCCAUGUUGCGUGGAGGAGCUGGUGGAUGUCUACGAUGUAGAGAGAGGCGUCCUGGUGCGCCGCACUAAGUUAGCUUUGACAAAAUCUGUGGUACUCUGUGUUAUGCACUUAUGCAAGUCCUGCAGCCCCUGCUGCCCUAUACUGUUAAACUAUUGUUUUCUUUGUUGUUCAGUACUGAUAUAGCAUUGCUAUAUCCGGCAAAAUGUUUUAGUUA
Long non-coding RNA from Lolium rigidum, 311 nucleotides. RefSeq lists it as uncharacterized. The record is from RefSeq and is a predicted model, not a curated record. Lineage: Eukaryota; Viridiplantae; Streptophyta; Magnoliopsida; Poales; Poaceae. The transcript is spliced from 2 exons.